CCUACGGGAGGCAGCAGUGGGGAAUAUUGCGCAAUGGGGGAAACCCUGACGCAGCGACGCCGCGUGAGCGAAGAAGGCCUUCGGGUUGUAAAGCUCUGUUGUAAGGGACGAAAGAUCAAGGGAGUAACUGCCCUUGAAGUGACGGUACCUUACCAGCAAGCCCCGGCUAACUACGUGCCAGCAGCCGCGGUAAGACGUAGGGGGCGAGCGUUGUCCGGAAUUACUGGGCGUAAAGAGCACGUAGGCGGAUGUAUAAGUCAGGUGUGAAAGACCGCAGCCUAACUGCGGGGUUGCACUUGAAACUGUAUAUCUUGAGGGCAGGAGAGGUUAGUAGAAUUCCUGGUGUAGCGGUGAAAUGCGUAGAAAUCAGGAGGAAUACCAGUGGCGAAGGCGACUGACUGGACUGACCCUGACGCUGAGGUGCGAAAGCGUGGGUAGCAAACAGGAUUAGAUACCCUUGUAGUC
RNAcentral lists this ribosomal RNA (465 nucleotides) under uncultured bacterium. Its description in RNAcentral is "bacterial SSU rRNA". It matches the Rfam family "Bacterial small subunit ribosomal RNA", at positions 338 to 795 of the family's 1533-position model. The record is from RNAcentral.